RNAcentral lists this ribosomal RNA (253 nucleotides) under uncultured bacterium. Its description in RNAcentral is "partial 16S ribosomal RNA". It matches the Rfam family "Bacterial small subunit ribosomal RNA", at positions 524 to 776 of the family's 1533-position model. The record is from RNAcentral.
UACGGAAGGGGCUAGCGUUGUUCGGAAUUACUGGGCGUAAAGAGCUCGCAGGCGGCUUACCAAGUUGGGGGUGAAAUCCCGGGGCUCAACUCCGGAACUGCCUUCAAAACUGGCAGGCUCGAGUUCGGUAGAGGGGCGUGGAAUUCCCAGUGUAGAGGUGAAAUUCGUAGAUAUUAGGAAGAACACCAGUGGCGAAGGCGGCGCCCUGGCCCGAUACUGACGCUGAGGUGCGAAAGCGUGGGGAGCAAACAGG